RNAcentral lists this long non-coding RNA (209 nucleotides) under Trifolium pratense (red clover). Its description in RNAcentral is "long non-coding RNA (TPRA_LNC011592)". The record is from RNAcentral. Lineage: Eukaryota; Viridiplantae; Streptophyta; Magnoliopsida; Fabales; Fabaceae.
CUCUAAGAAUGUUGUUGCAAAGUUUCAUAGCAAAGCAAGAGAUAUUUCUGGGUUAGGAGAUGUCAUUAAAGAUUGUCAAUAUAUUCAUAACUCUCAUUUUAGAAACUCUCGGGUUGAGUUUGCUAGGAGACAAGCCAAUGAGGCCGCUCAUAUAUUAGCAAAUGUGGUCUCAUCUCUAGCUAGUUUCCAUAUUUUCAUUGAUGUACCCU